Molecule: long non-coding RNA, 1309 nt
Organism: Musa acuminata AAA Group (dessert banana)
Lineage: Eukaryota; Viridiplantae; Streptophyta; Magnoliopsida; Zingiberales; Musaceae
Exons: 6
Source: RefSeq, a predicted model, not a curated record
CUCGCAUCGAUGGGAGCGGCGUCGAUUGCCCAGCGAGAGUACGCGAGCGAGCUGCCCGGCUUUCCGAUGCCAUAGAGCAGGUCGGCCCAUGUGUACAAUUUCACAUAUGUACAUUCAUCAAGCAAGGCUCAGCUUGGCUCAAGCUCGAUAUCCUCAUCAUUAUAUGCCAUGAAGUUGUCAAGCACGGUCUCUCGGUGGAGUGCCAAGACCAAAGUUGGAGAAGAUGAUCAUGAAGCCCAGAAUUAGAAGGGAUGUGGAUAAUUUAUGGGAUGUGAGAAAGAACAAUUGUGAAGAAUAAAGUUGUCGGAUUAUCGAUAGGAUGGACAUCUAAUGUAAAGCUAAGGGGAAGCUGCUUAAUUGACUGAUCCUGUUUGGACCAUUCGACUUGGAAGGUUUUGGUGCAGUAUUUUUGUGACUGGUUUAUGGAAAUGUCAUAGAAGAGAAACUUUUUCUGUAAGCAAUGCAGACCAUCAGUAUCAGCACAAAGAGAUCUUUCAGUUCAAGUGGCCCAAGGUUGUCACUGCGGCUUCCUCCUAUAUACUACAGUGUGAGUUAAAAGAACAAGGCCAUUGAGAUCUUUCUCAAUCAGACUAGGAGAAUCACCUUAUUGGAUGUCUAUGAUGUCACCCUCGAUUCACGUGAGAAGAGCCAGGGUGGUGGUACAAUUCCGUGAAGCAGCCUGUGCCUGUAAUAUAUCGACUGUGUCUAUGAUGUCGCCUAAGGAUCAUGUAGAGGCAGGUCUCCUGAUACAUUUAUGUGAGACAGGGACUGCUUCCCUGUAGAGCAUGUAGAAGCAGAUCCUCUAGUCUAACCCCUGGCUUCUGUGAAUGCCUGUGCCAUUGUUCUGUCGGAGCAGCCUAUAUCCAGAGUGUUGGAUUCAAUCAGCAUGGAAGAUUAAUUGAUUGAAGCCUUCCACCCCAUAAUAUGAGACUUUCCUCAGGCAGCUGAAGAUUCUGUUCUUAUCACUGAGGCAUCGCCCAUCUAGUGCACCCAACACGAUCAUCAUAAUGGAGGAAAGGAUCAUGGUGGGCAAGUGCCUUGUUGGUCCGAUCAUAUCUGAUGAUAGUGAGGAGCAACUCAUCCAGUCCCAAAUGCCGGCUGAUCUCUCAUGGUGCUUCAUCUCAGAACGUGCUAGGAAACUGAUAUCCCACUCACCGUCUUGUCUCAGUCCAAGCUUUGGUGAAGCAAGGAAGGUGGUGGUGGGAAACAAAAUGCUGGUCUCUGUAUGACGUUGUCUUUGCUCCCAUUCAUCCUACCAUUCCAUUAUGUGGACAUCAUUUAAAAAAAAUUGACAAGGAUUUGAUGCUUC